Molecule: non-coding RNA, 5501 nt
Organism: Anolis sagrei ordinatus
Lineage: Eukaryota; Metazoa; Chordata; Lepidosauria; Squamata; Anolidae
Source: RefSeq, a predicted model, not a curated record
UCCUCGAGGGAUAGCUGUGCCGGAGUGUCAACAAGGACAACAACAACCCUGGAGAGUUAGGCCCCAUUCCCACCUGGGUCUUCCUGCCCCGAGUCCCAAGCGAUGCCCUUUAUGCAGUUCAUGUUGCUUUUUAGUCGUCAGGGGAAGUUAAGACUUCAGAAGUGGUAUGUCCCAUUGUCUGACAAAGAAAAGAAGAAAAUAACAAGAGAACUUGUUCAAACAGUCUUAGCCCGUAAACCGAAAAUGUGCAGCUUUCUGGAAUGGAGAGACCUGAAGAUUGUCUACAAAAGAUAUGCAAGCCUCUACUUCUGUUGUGCCAUUGAAGAUCAGGAUAAUGAGCUAAUAACACUGGAAAUAAUUCAUCGUUAUGUAGAAUUGCUUGACAAAUAUUUUGGAAGUGUAUGUGAACUUGAUAUUAUCUUCAAUUUUGAAAAGGCUUAUUUCAUUUUGGAUGAAUUUCUCUUGGGAGGAGAAGUUCAGGAAACUUCAAAGAAAAAUGUUCUUAAAGCUAUUGAACAGGCAGAUCUAUUACAGGAGCCACGUCAUGAAUACUUUAAUGUCCCAGUGUACUAAAUGACUUCAUUCAUCAUGCAUAAGAGAAGCAAUAAAGCUGACUUACUCAUGGCAGAACACUUAUCCUCAGCUUGGUGAAUCCAAUCAUCUUGAACAAAUUAGUGUAUAUCACACUGUUAUUUUUUGCUGUUUGUAUAUUUUCCUGUCUUACCAUUUGCAGUGUCUGUGUUUUUCCUUUCAUUUGUCUUGUCUUGUCAACAUGCCAUCAUUUUCAUUUUAAAAUAUUUAAAUCUUUAAUUAGCACUUGAUAUAGCAUGUAAUAUUCAAGCUGAAAUACUAUGUGGAGCUUAGUUUUACAAUUUAAAUACUGAAACCUCAUGGUACAGUAUUCUGUCAAACUGGAUAUAAAUGUGAUAUUUGUAUUUGCAAAAUAGAUACGCACUGACCUUUUCUUAGGUGCAUUAAACAAAAAGUGUUUUAAACAGAUGGCUUAUAGACAGAACAUAAUUUAAAAACCUUGAAAAUUACUUUUUUAUUUUAAAAAAGCAUAUUUUAGAAAGUAGCAUUUUGUACUUGAUGUUUAUAUAAGAAUUUAAAAUUUAAAUAUUCUGAUCUUGCAUUAUUAAGAGCUUCAGUAUUUAUGGUACCCUCUAGUGUUUGAAAGGGCUUUUCCAUUCACUGCAAUGUUGGAGUUGUUUUCCAGGCCUACUAAUAGACCCAAUCAUUGCAGGUAAAUGGAGACAUCCACGGAAAUGAAUAUAUCUUAAGUAAAAAAUACAAUUCUAGAAUUUCUGUGCUGAAAUAUGAACCGCCCAAAAAUUAACAGUGGAAAAAAGGGUUAUUCUGCUUGUUUUGUGUAGGGAAAUUAUUAAUUUAUGCAGAGGCUAUGUUUCUCAAAAAUAUAAUAUAAUAUAAUAUAAUAUAAAUAAACUUUAUUUAUAACCUGCCCUAUCUCCCCAAGGGGACUCUAGUCAAUUUUCCAAACUAGUGGCAAACACUCAAUGCCAUAAUAAUGAAACCAACCAAAUCGAGACAAUACAUAAAACAACUUCAAUAAAAACUUAUAAUAACUAGCCAAAAAUAAGUAAAAAUAAGUUAUUAAAUAAAACAUAAUAAAUCUAAUCAAACGCAUUUACACCAUAAUAAAAUCUAAACAACUAAAUUGCAUAAAAUAUAAAAUAAUUUAUAGUAGCCUUAACUAUUUUAAGUUAUAAAAUAAUAGGGAAUAAGGGUUAGCUCAAUCAAUCAUAUGCAAUAUAAAAUUCCAGUUUAAUUGGUAUUGGGUGAUACCAAGAUAUAUAUCAAAAUACUUUCAACAGUGAGGCAUUUAACAUAUUGAUUCUACAACAUUUCUAGAUAUAUGGCAAAUAAAUUAUAGAAAAUUUCUGCCUUAUCAUUUUGGUUUUUUUGGUUUUUUUUUUAAAAAAUGGUAUUGCUUCUGUGAAUGUAUUUGGUUGUGCUGCAUUGCAUACCCUUAAUCUACGAAGUGCUAUGCAUGGAAUGCUAAUGAGCUGUUGUGGCCUGUUACAGUUUUAUAUUCUUGCAUGCUUGCAAAUUAUUGUGAAUUAGCUUUCCUGGCAUGUCUUUAAUAAAGUAUUGCAUGCACUUCUCAUGUGAAUGCCUUUUUUUUCCUCCCAUCUCUUCUGUGUUGAUAUAUUUCCUGUUUGUGCGGUUCGCUAUUGGUAAUUUUGCUCAGGAGAAUAAAUCUGUGAAACACUUGACUACACUGUACAAAUUAUUCCUAAAUCAUUUCCUGCGUUACACAUUUCCAAACUCACAUUUGUAUGUACACUUGGCAGUUGCUACGAAUGUAUAUUUUAUACAUCUAUAUAUGUAUGAGACUCAAUGCUUUUGUAGAAUGUUGUUUGCUCAUAGUGUAUAUUUAUUACAAACUGAAACACUAUCAGAUAUCUAGAAGUAGACAAAAUUAAUAACCACUUAUCUAUUAGUUAUAUAGUGUAUCUACAUUAUUUGUUUUUUAGGAUUAGCCUCCUUGUGAAUAGAGGGCAACUUUUGUGGUGCCAGGGGCCACUUUUCUGUUGGACAAGUGUUAAACUGCAGCAAACUUUAGCCAUUCUUCCACACAAACAACUCCUUUUACUGGAAAGGGACUCAGAAAGGUGCAACAUUUAGGUACAUUUUUAAACGGGGUGGGGGGAAAUAAAAUGGUAGAAAUAGUCUAUUUAUAUUAUAUACUGUACAUUGCAGUUCAGUUAUUAACAAAUAAAAACCACAAUUUUCAAUAGAUUAUUACUUUGGAAAUGUAUUUGUUUCCUAAAAGUAAGUCCUCCGUGCAUUAUUUGUAAAAUCCCUCCCGUUCGAACUUUAUUAAGUGUUACUAAAUUAUAUAAAUGAAUGGUAAAUAUAUCCAUUUUGACUUUCAUGGAAUACUUCAGAAACAUGGCAUUUUCCCCAUAUCCACAAACUAGUCUUUUAUUUUUCUUCUGUGGUUUGCUGCUGAAUUUUGGCACAGUUUUUCAAAUUUAAUUUUCCUUUAGGGUGCUGGUCUGUCACAUGAAGCGUGGAAAAUGUUCUUCUCCCACAGUGCUAGAGAUCCACUUGCACAGAAGGAGCCCUGGGCUUGCUUUAACCUGUUUAACACUGAACUGUUGCAGUGGUUCCACAGGUGGGAAUCUGCUUCUGUCUGGGUGGAUCCAUCAGUGGGUAGCUUACCUCAUAAAUUGCAAGGGUGGUGCUUUUCCUAGUAUAGAUUUUCCUAUUAGUUAACAUCUUUCAGCACAGAUCAGCUAGCUGGAUUAAAUAGUGUGCCAAAGGAAAUGGGAAUUUAUUCACUCCAAUUUAAAUCAGAUAGUGUUGGAAUAACAGGUUGCUCCAGGGGUUACUUUUACUAAUCUGGACAUCCUGGAACUGACUGUGUAGCUUUCUAGUGGCACUGUUUAUCCUUUCACUCAUGAACGUUUAGAAGCUUUAUUUCUAUAAAACAAAACAAAAUCUGAUAAAGAUAGGUUUAAGGUUGUUGACAAUAGACUUAUCAAUAGCGUGGUUUCAGUGACGAGACUGAACAUCACUUGUGUUUUGUAGUGAAGCCAAUGCACUUACUUUAAAUAGAAGAUUUAAAAACAACAUCUGAAAUUUUGUGAACACUUUCUGUUCCUCUGUGGGAACUCUAUAAUUAAAAAUGUAUGUUUAUGUAUAUCGUUAACACUUCCUUUUCUUAGAACGUUAUUGCUAAAUUCUGAUUCUCUCUUUUUUGGCUAUGCCUUAUUUAGGAUGCUAAAGAAGCGGAGACUCCUCGUAGUGUACUUGAAGAAAUUGGACUGACAUAAACCUCGUUUGCUGAUGUCUUACAUGGUGUUUCAUAUACCUGUAAAUGUUCACUGCCUCCAUUUAAUGUUAGCUAAUGGUGUUAUGAUGCUAUUUGUCAGUAUUACUGUUCUGCUGAGCUACUUCAUUCAGACCUACAAGAAAAAUUCAAUUUACUGUCAAGUUGAAAAAGGGAGCAUACUUUUUAGGGAAAAAAUUAAAGGGAUUUAAACUACAAUAAUUUAGAAUGAAUCCAUAAAUUAAAAUGAACAAUACAUGGUAAUUUAUGUGAUAUUUUAUAAACAUUACUGUGCCAUCACGUAAUGUGUCAGGUACCAUACAUUUUGCCAUAUACUAAAACAAGUUACUUAUGGCAAGAAGGUGAAAUUCAGUUAAUAUAGAACUUGGCUUUGUGUAACCAAAGACUCUUAUUAUACAGUCAGACACUCAUACAUUUGUUAAAAUUCAAUUUAGGUUAUUACAUAAGAUUGGGGGAAAAUAACUUUAUGGCUAUUUCAUUUAUACCAAAGAAUCCUGCUAAGGUCUGCAAAGUCAAACUGUUGUGAAUUGCCAUUGUAACUUCAUUUCCAAUAACUGAAUGGUAAAGGAUUUCAUUAGAAAUUCUAAUGAAUGAGAUCACAGUGAGAUUUUAAAUUGAAUCAGAAAAUGGAGUUCAUUCAUUACAAAAGGAAAAAGACUGAGGUCAUAUGAAUUUUUUUAAGCAACAAGCAUUCUUUUUAAUACCAAAUUGAAAUGCUUCCUGAAUUGCAUAUUUGGUUUUUUUUGAAAGUAUAAAGGAGAAUCAAUUCAAAACACAUUAAGCUACUGUGAUAUAAUCUCAAAGGGAAGCAUGUAAAAAUGAUUUUACCAAGCACCUGUCCUUAACUUUUUACCAGUAUAACUAUAUGUUUGAACUAGAACUCAAGCAGUUGCUUGUAGAGUUUGAAAAUAUGUAGUUACACAUCAGUUUUCAUCUCACCUCACAAUGUUAGGUUUCAUUAAAAUGAAUUUCUUUACAUAAUAGAAACAAGCCUUAAAAUGGGAACUUUGUUAAAAUCACUGCCAUGUUUUCACAAGACACAAAAAGGCUGAAAGUGUAUACACAUUUAACUUGGUAGUAAGUCCCAAUAACAGGGCUUGCGUCAAAAUAAAUAUGCAUAGGUUCAGGCUGCAGAGGUAUCACAAAGCCAUACUCUAUUUACUCCGAUGUGUGUUUUUGCUGUUCUAUCCUGUAUCCUACUGCUAAAAAAGCUUCAGUACAGAGCACAUGCUGUGAAAAGCAGUGUAACCCCCCCCCCCUCCACAUGUGUAAUAUCUUGUGUGUGUUCUCACUUGGCUACUUCUCCAAUAAUGUUACUACUUGCUGUGAUUGGUGUGCUUUAAAGCAUCCAAAUGCUUUACUUUAAACAGUACCACAGAUCUGAAGUAAUCAUGUUUGCUUAGGGUACAGAAGGAGUUGGGUUCACCCUGGGGAAACAUGGACUCCUGAAUUUCAGGUGACAUUAUAAUGUGACCUCUUGUGUGACACUGAGGAGACAGAAUUAUUUGGCCUUUUAAAAUGUCAGCUGAAAAGCAACUUUUGUGUAUAUUCAAACCAUGUUUAAAGUUUACACCAUUGCCUUGUAUGUGCUUGGUUGGAAAAGCUUUGACUGUGACAUGCGCAACGUGAACACUGUCUUAGUAUCACACUGGUUUAGUUGUAAUAAAUGUCCAUUUCUACUGCA